UGGGGAAUUUUGGACAAUGGGCGAAAGCCUGAUCCAGCAAUGCCGCGUGUGUGAAGAAGGCCUUCGGGUUGUAAAGCACUUUUGUCCGGAAAGAAAUCCUUGGCUCUAAUACAGUCGGGGGAUGACGGUACCGGAAGAAUAAGCACCGGCUAACUACGUGCCAGCAGCCGCGGUAAUACGUAGGGUGCAAGCGUUAAUCGGAAUUACUGGGCGUAAAGCGUGCGCAGGCGGUUUGCUAAGACCGAUGUGAAAUCCCCGGGCUCAACCUGGGAACUGCAUUGGUGACUGGCAGGCUAGAGUAUGGCAGAGGGGGGUAGAAUUCCACGUGUAGCAGUGAAAUGCGUAGAGAUGUGGAGGAAUACCGAUGGCGAAGGCAGCCCCCUGGGCCAAUACUGACGCUCAUGCACGAAAGCGUGGGGAGCAAACAGGAUUAGAUACCCUGGUAGUCCACGCCCUAAACGAUGUCAACUAGUUGUUGGGGAUUCAUUUCCUUAGUAACGUAGCUAACGCGUGAAGUUGACCGCCUGUGGAGUACGGUCGCAAGAUUAAAACUUAAAGGAAUUGACGGGGUCAUAGCUGUUUCCU
Molecule: ribosomal RNA, 585 nt
Filed under: uncultured bacterium
Lineage: Bacteria
Description: partial 16S ribosomal RNA
Rfam family: Bacterial small subunit ribosomal RNA
Source: RNAcentral